This 253-nucleotide ribosomal RNA is filed under the name uncultured bacterium. RNAcentral's name for it is "partial 16S ribosomal RNA". It matches the Rfam family "Bacterial small subunit ribosomal RNA", at positions 524 to 776 of the family's 1533-position model. The record is from RNAcentral.
UACGGAGGGGGCAAGCGUUGUUCGGAAUUACUGGGCGUAAAGGGCGCGUAGGCGGUCUGUCGCGUCAGGUGUGAAAGCCCCGGGCUCAACCUGGGAGGUGCACUUGAUACGGGCAGGCUCGAGUCCGAGAGAGGUGGGUGGAAUUCCCAGUGUAGAGGUGAAAUUCGUAGAUAUUGGGAAGAACACCAGUGGCGAAGGCGGCUCACUGGCUCGGAACUGACGCUGAGGCGCGAAAGCGUGGGGAGCAAACAGG